This is a long non-coding RNA of Leopardus geoffroyi (Geoffroy's cat), 738 nucleotides long. RefSeq lists it as uncharacterized. The record is from RefSeq and is a predicted model, not a curated record. The transcript has 4 exons. Lineage: Eukaryota; Metazoa; Chordata; Mammalia; Carnivora; Felidae.
UCCUGGUAAUACACAGUAAGCACUGGGGCUUUGCUGUAGGUGGAAUGAGGAGUCUGGGAGAGUUUUGAGGAGGCCUGACAGUUCCUGUCUUCAUUGUGAAGCCAUCACCUGGGCUGCACAUGGAGGACUGGCUAACCCAGGAAGCAAAGAGUGGAAACAGAGCAACUAUGAGGCCACUGCAGUGCCCAGGAUCCAAUCCUGGAUCACACGUUGCAUGUUAACUACAUCUCCAAUUUGAGACAAGGCCUCAGUCUUUCUUUGUCUUCCAUGACUGGACACUUCUGAACAGUAUUAGUCUCCAUGUGCUGUCCAGUUGUUCCAGCACCAUUUGGUGAAAGGAUUAUCUUCUCUCCAUUGUAUUUCUUUGCUCCCUGUCAAAGGAAAGCUGCAUACAAGGAUUGAAGAGCCAGGAGAGUGCCUCAGAAAGCCUGCCUAUGGCAAUGAUGCUUGUCUUGCAAUGCCAGAAUCAUUUCUAGAGCAUGCCACUUUCAUGGCAUACUGAUAAAGUCGUAGUGAAACCAAAUUAUUCCUAAUACAUUUUUUAGUAUUGAAGGUGGGGCUGACUUUGCUAACUGAUAUGAAGUCAGGAUGAUCACAUGAAUGUGGGUGUGCUAAGCCCAAAUGCUACCUAUGUGUGAAAGCACUUUUGAGUAUCUUAAUUCUUUUUAUGUUUUUGUCAAUUUGCUCCAAGUCCUGGUUUAUCUCUCAGCUUUCUGCAAACUUACAUUAUAUUCAGCU